Molecule: unclassified non-coding RNA, 598 nt
Filed under: Haliotis rubra (blacklip abalone)
Lineage: Eukaryota; Metazoa; Mollusca; Gastropoda; Lepetellida; Haliotidae
Description: uncharacterized LOC124273548, transcript variant X1
Source: RNAcentral
UAGACACGCUGAUAGGUACCCUCGUUACUGAGCGCGCAAGUAAACUCAGAUCAAGUGAAUACAUCACCUUGAAGAACACAGCGACACGUGGAACAGGAAGAGACAAAGUGGGCGACAUUCCUCCAUCUCCAGGUCCCCAAGGUCCAAGCCCGCUAGAUGGACGAGUGUUGGAAUGUGGAACAGGAAGAGACAAAGUGGUCGACUUUCCUCCAUCUUCAGGUCCGCAAGAUCCAAGCCCGCCAGGAGGAGUAGUGUCUUCAUGUGGAUAUGGAAGGGGCAAAAUUGAAGCUUAUUCCACAUUCAAAACCGACAAGUAACAAACCUUUCAAAUGACGAAGCUGAGUCAGCAGUUUUCCGAAGACUUCUUCAUCUCAACAAAAUAAAUGUCAGAACUUAACCUCAUAUGAGUCUUACUAUUAGCAGAUAUUAAGUUAAGGUGGUCUUCGGAUAAUGUGAAAGUCCUUGAAUCAGCUUGUCACCGUGUAUUUUGCUGAAAGCAUUAAUAAUAAUAAUAAUAAUAUAUAUAUAUAUUUUACUUUCGUUGUAUCAGAACACAGAUGCACAAAUUGGAGAAUUAAAACAGUAGCGUUACCAGUGA